UACGAAGGGGGCUAGUGUUGCUCGGAAUCACUGGGCGUAAAGCGCACGUAGGCGGGUCGUUAAGUCAGGGGUGAAAUCCCGGAGCUCAACUCCGGAACUGCCUUUGAUACUGGCGACCUUCGAGUCCGGGAGAGGUGAGUGGAACUGCGAGUGUAGAGGUGAAAUUCGUAGAUAUUCGCAAGAACACCAGUGGCGAAGGCGGCUCACUGGCCCGGUACUGACGCUGAGGUGCGAAAGCGUGGGGAGCAAACAGG
Molecule: ribosomal RNA, 254 nt
Filed under: uncultured bacterium
Lineage: Bacteria
Description: partial 16S ribosomal RNA
Rfam family: Bacterial small subunit ribosomal RNA
Source: RNAcentral